GAUGAAGAACGUAGCGAAAUGCGAUACGUAAUGUGAAUUGCAGAAUUCAGUGAAUCAUCGAGUCUUUGAACGCACAUUGCGCCCCCUGGUAUUCCGGGGGGCAUGCCUGUCCGAGCGUCAUUGCUGCCCUCAAGCACGGCUUGUGUGUUGGGCCUCCGUCCUCCUCCCGGGGGACGGGCCCGAAAGGCAGCGGCGGCACCGCGUCCGGUCCUCGAGCGUAUGGGGCUUCGUCACCCGCUCUUGUAGGCCCGGCCGGCGCUUGCCGACACAUCAAUCUUUUUUCCAGGUUGAUCUCAAAUCAGGUAGGACUACCCGCUGAACUUAAGCAUAUCAAUAAGCGGAGGA
RNAcentral lists this unclassified non-coding RNA (345 nucleotides) under soil metagenome. RNAcentral describes it as "partial contains 5.8S ribosomal RNA, internal transcribed spacer 2, and large subunit ribosomal RNA". The stretch from base 1 to 120 matches the Rfam family "5.8S ribosomal RNA", at positions 35 to 154 of the family's 154-position model. The record is from RNAcentral.